GAUGGGUGGAUAGUGUCAUGGACGUUAGUUAAGAAUGAGCUGGUUCAUACAGAUGUCAUCAAGCUGUCAGUAGAAGGAGCAACGAUGCAGGGGCUAGAGGGACUACAGUUGCAAACGCUUGGCUGUGGGACAUCAUUUGAUUUUCACAAAA
This is a non-coding RNA of Tinamus guttatus (white-throated tinamou), 151 nucleotides long. Lineage: Eukaryota; Metazoa; Chordata; Aves; Tinamiformes; Tinamidae. The record is from RefSeq and is a predicted model, not a curated record.